This is an RNA transcript of Cebus imitator (Panamanian white-faced capuchin), 1617 nucleotides long. It is a transcript of the gene named transcription factor AP-2 gamma-like, with no coding region annotated. The transcript has a single exon. The record is from RefSeq and is a predicted model, not a curated record. Lineage: Eukaryota; Metazoa; Chordata; Mammalia; Primates; Cebidae.
GGGAACCCACGAGUACCCCACCUCUCCUCCGCCGGACCGCACCUCUGCAGCCCCGCGCCGCCCCUCUCCCACACUGGAGUCGCGGAAUACCAGCCGCCACCCUGCUUUCCCCCUCCCUACCAGCGGCUGGCCUACUCGCAAUCGGCCGACCCCUACUCGCACCGGGGGAAGCGCACGCCGCCAUCAACCUCCUGCACCAGCGGGCGCCCACCGGCAGCAGGCCUGGCGCGGCCGCCAGAACCAGGGGGGAGCGGGGCUGCCUUGCACCACGGGCGCCCGCCGGCCUGCGGCCCCACCUCUCCGGGCUGGAGGCGGGUCGGUGAGCGCCCGCGGGAAUGCCUACCACCGCUCCAACCUGCUGCCGCCCCAUGCGCACGCCCCGAUGCAGCGGUCCUGGCCGAAAAUCUGGGGCUGCACGACAUGGCCUACCAGAUGGACGAGGUGCAGAAUGUUGACGACCAGCACCUACUGUUGCACGAUCAGUCAGUCAUUCACAAAGGUCCCAUUUCCAUGACCGAGAACCCUCUGAACCUCCCCUGUCAGAAGGAGCUGGUGGGGCUCGUAAUGAACCCCACUGAGAUCUUCUGCGCAGUCCCUGGAAGAUUGUCUCUCCUCAGCUUUACUUCAAAAUACAAAGUGACGGCGGCUGAAGUGCAGAGGCGAUUGUCCCCGUCCGAAUGCUUAAAUGCCUCAUUACUGGGAGAUGUUCUCAGAAGAGCCAAAUCGAAAAAUGCAGGCCGGCCCUUGCAGGAGAAGUUGGACAAGACUGGGUUGAUCUUAGGCCGGGAGAGGGAAAGCCGCUUAUGUGGUGACUCUCCUGACAACCUUAGUAGAAGGGGAAGCUGUUCGUUCGGCUAGAGACUUUGCCUACGUCUGUGAAGCCGAAUUUCCUAGUAAACCAGUGGCAGAAUAUUUAACCAGGCCUCAUCUGGGAGGACGAAAUGAGAUGGCAACUAGGAAGAACAUGCUACUGGCAGCCCAGCAAGUGUAUAAAGAAUGCAUGGAGCUUCUCAGCGGAGACCAGACACCCAAUGGCACCAGCAGGUCCUCCGCCCCAGUCUUGGAGACAAACAUACAGAGCUGCCAGUCUCAUUUCAGCCUGAUUACCCACGGGUUUGGCAGCCAGGCCAUCUGCCCUGCAGAGCUGCAUCAAAGAAGCCCUGGUUGUCAUAGAUAAAUCCUACAUGAACCCCGGAGACCAGAAUCCAGCUGAUUCUAACAAAACCCUGGAGAAAAUGGAGAAGCACAGGAAAUAAAAUUGGGACGAACAAAGCUUCGGAGAGUCGGGAGGGAACAGGACUGCAAGAAUCCUUCUCCACCGCACAGAUGAGAGCCCUCUUGGCCUGGGGGAAGAGUUUGUCACCUACCUUACUAUUUAAAGGGCCUCCACCUGUUCCGGAUCCACAGCGAUCACCUCCCCCGCUCCCUGCCUGGAUUCCUUAGUUGUUUCUCUAGCGCUGAGCUAUCUCCUAGCUUUGGAACUUUAUCAGAAGGUGACAAGUACUGGCUCUUUAUUCAUUAAGCUUUUAUUUUUUUGAACCCCAUUCUUUCCUUCCCUGAAAGUGGUGCUACAAGUUUUAGAAUCUUUUAAAUACAUUGCCUGGGCUAACAGACCCA